RNAcentral lists this long non-coding RNA (499 nucleotides) under Linum usitatissimum (flax). RNAcentral's name for it is "long non-coding RNA (LUSI_LNC005974)". Lineage: Eukaryota; Viridiplantae; Streptophyta; Magnoliopsida; Malpighiales; Linaceae. The record is from RNAcentral.
GGGGUUCAGGUUUCCGAUUUGCUCCCCCGCCUCGUCUGUGAGGGCGGAUUUCGUGAAAGGGGCGCUGAGCAGCGUCAUCGGAGCCGGCGACGAUGAGGCGGCUCUGGCGGGGGGCAGGGAGCGGAGCGGGUGGGUUUCGGUGGGGAGCGGAUCGUGUGGUUUUCGGUGGAGGCGGAGAGGAAAUACGGAGUUAGGGAUUUCGUGGUGGUGGCGGCGGUCGACGCGACGAGGACGGAGGCGGUGGCGCAGGAAGAGGUGGCGGCUUUUGUCGCCGCCCAAUCGAAAGCGGGAGCGUAGGAUGGACAUUAGGGUUUUUUUAUUUGGUUGCAAGUUUGGCAAUUCCAUGAAAGGGUCGAAUUGUAACGAAACGGGUAUGGAUAUUCGUCCCGUUUAAAUGUUUGUUUUACAAUUUUAUGUAGAAUGUGUUCACAGUUUCGAACUUCAAAACCCAACAAUAUGGGUACUCGUAAUUCAAUUUGUAGAUUUAUUUAUGUCGAUA